AAGCUCGUAGUUGAAUUUCGUGAUUGACGUAAUGGUCAUGCCUUAAGGGUAUGAACUGUUACUGUUGAUUUCUCACCUUCUGGAGAAACUUGAUGUCCUUUAUUGGGUGUCUUGCGGAUCCAGGACCUUUACCUUGAAAAAAUUAGAGUGUUUAAAGCAGGCAUUUUCGCUCGAAUACAUUAGCAUGGAAUAAUAGAAUAGGACGGCAUGGUUCUAUUUUGUUGGUUUCUAGGAUCACCGUAAUGAUUAAUAGGGAUAGUUGGG
RNAcentral lists this ribosomal RNA (264 nucleotides) under uncultured Glomus. RNAcentral describes it as "partial 18S ribosomal RNA". It matches the Rfam family "Eukaryotic small subunit ribosomal RNA", at positions 624 to 886 of the family's 1831-position model. Lineage: Eukaryota; Fungi; Glomeromycota; Glomeromycetes; Glomerales; Glomeraceae. The record is from RNAcentral.